This is a long non-coding RNA of Sarcophilus harrisii (Tasmanian devil), 2662 nucleotides long. NCBI's taxonomy places the organism in Eukaryota, Metazoa, Chordata, Mammalia, Dasyuromorphia, Dasyuridae. The record is from Ensembl.
GUUAUUUCCACACUUGUCCUAUUGCACAAGAAAAAUCAGAUGAAAAGGAAAAAAAAAAUAAGAGAAAAAAAGCAACAACAACCAAAAAGAUGAAAAUACUAUGUUGUGAUCCACGUUCAGUGAGAUGGGGAUUUUUAUGAUCCGAUGGAUUCCAAACUGGUUGGAUGGUCAGACUCUAAGUGAGUUGGGAGCCACGAGUAUCUGAAAGACUAUCACGAGGUAGAGAAAUGAACCUUGUUCUGUCUGGACUUUAAGGGUUAAACUUGGAGCAUCGAGAGGAAGUUACAAAAAGACAGUUUUAGGACCAACUUCCUAACACUGAACAACUUCCUAUCCUGAAGGGCAGUGGACUACCUGAGGAGGCGGUGAAUCCCGAAGCAUUCUUGGAGGUCUUCAGAUAGAGGCAGGAUAACUACUUGUCAGGAAUGGUUCAAUCUGUAGCAGGAGGAAGGAUGAAAUGGUUAUAAUGGAAAGGCAAAACCCAUCGAUGAAAUAUACAAAAAUGGAAAGGGUCUGCUCAAGUCCUUUGGGCAGAGAAAGGACAGUUGGGUGGCAUAGUGAAUGGAAUACCUGGCCUAGAGUCAGAAAGACUGAGUUCAAAUGAAACCUCAGACACUGUGUGAUCCUGAUCAAGUCACUCCACCCUAUUGGCCUUAGUCUUGUCAUCUGUAAAAUACCAUUCCAGUAUCUCUGUCAAGAAAACCCCAAAGGGUCACAAAGAGUCGGACAAGAGUGAACCACAAUAUCCUUCUAGGAUCAAAAAUCAAAUCUUCUCUUAUCUGCCCCCCCUCCCACCUUUUCAUUCUUCUUAUUCCCUGUACAUACUCCGGUACAGUGACCCCAUUCUCCUGGUUAUUCCACAAACCAAACACUCCAGCGCUGGACUCCAAGCUCUGCCCGAAGCCUGGAACGCUAUAGCUCCCCAUUUCCUCCUCCUGGCUCCCUGUUGAAAUCUCACCUCCUCCAGGAAGCCUCUCCCAAUCCCCUUAACACUGGUGCCUUCCCUCUGCACUAGCACCAUGUGAGAUGUCUCCCUUAUUAGGGAGCGAGCUCUGGUGGGCAGGAACAGCCUUUAACUUUCUGCCUAUGGGAAACACUUAUUUUUAAGUGUUUCUUGGCUUGACAGGCUGACAGUUGCUUUCCAGGUUCCCAAUCAAUGGGGAAUCAUUUGUCUCUAGUCCUUUGCUACCCCCAAAUGGGCUGCCCACCCGUGCUGCCGUGCCCCUGGCUCUUGAAGGCUGAGCCAAAGGGAAAAGGCUCUGGCAGGUCCCAGCAAGCCGGAGAGACAGCUAGCGGCAGAUACAUCAUGUGCCUGGUGUCCUGGGACCAGCUCGGCUAGACCCCAAGAAGGGCUCAAGCCUGGGUGGCUGCUGGGCUGAGGAGCGACCCUCAGAGACCACCCAGGACAGGGGGACCCGGGUUCCCAGGCAUACGAAGGCAGACUCCAUCAAGAUGUUUCAGGGAACUUGUGAAACUGGGUAGGAAAAAUCACAUCUUUAUUUUCACUAACCAGGGGUCCUCAAACUUUUUAAAUAGGGGGCCAGUUCACUGUCCCUCAGACUGUUGGAGGGCCUGACUAUAGUAAAAACAAAAACUUUGUUUUGUGGGUCUUUAAAUAAAGAAACUUCAUAGCCCUGGGGGAGGGGGAUAAACGUCCUCAGCUGCUGCAUCUGGCCCACGGGCCGUAGUUUAAGGACCCCUGUUCUAGGCAAAUAGAGUAUAUUCUUUAAUAUAUUCUAUACUGUAUUCUAAACAUUAUAAAUUUAGCAUAUUCUUAUGGAUUUAGGCAACAAGAUACAGCAGGAUCAGCUGCAGCUGGGACAUCAUCCCAGAUGUUUUUACAUCACACGACAGAUUGUUUGAGAUAUUUCAAAAUAUUCUUUACAGUUAUCAUUGCUUUUAAAUUCAAUGUAGAUUAAAUAGUCAUUAAAUUUAGGUUAAAUAGUCGUUAAAUAGGGAAAAUAGUCAAUAGGCCCGUUAUCUUGCCUGCGUUUUAAAUGUCCACCUUCACCCAACUCUCACCGAGACUCCAAGAAGCUGGAGCAUGGUCAGCGGCCGCCCCCCUGGAAAACCAAUUGGGCAGAUGAGGGGAGCUGACGGGGCUGAAGCCUACUGGUGAGUUAGCGGGGCGUCUGCCUCAAGACUGUCCCUGGCAGAACGGAGCGAUGGUAUUAACAGUCUGCGCCAGUGGCCAUGAAGGCACACCGGGGCUUGGGGACUGAGCAGAAAUGGAAGGUGCUGAUUGAGGUCAUCUACGCAAAUCCCAGAUGGUCACCAGAUUUUUGUCUUGCUGCUGGACUUCAGAGACCGUGGGGGAGAAAGGGAAGCUGAUGAUUUUGUGUAACUGUCUCACUUAAAUCUAUCUAAUCCACACACGAGUCAGGACUACCCGUGGUAUCAUUGCUCCUCUUCAAAAAGGGCAGCUAGGUGGGGCAAUGGUUAGAGCGCCAGCCCUGAAGCUGAGUUCAAAUCUGACCUCAGAUGCUUAACAUGGUACUGGCUGUGUGACCCUGGGCAAGUCACUUGACUCCCAUUGCCUCAGCAAAAAAAAGAAAAAGUAAGGACAAACAUUUUAAAUGCCUUAAUAACUGCAAAUGUGACUUACAGAUUUUUAAAUUCUUAGGUAACGAUAUUUCUAUAGAAUCAAUUUCCUUUAUAAUUC